Molecule: long non-coding RNA, 6681 nt
Organism: Aedes albopictus (Asian tiger mosquito)
Lineage: Eukaryota; Metazoa; Arthropoda; Insecta; Diptera; Culicidae
Exons: 2
Source: RefSeq, a predicted model, not a curated record
UGGCAUUUUUCGAAGGUAGUCCGUGACAUUUACCUUAAAUAUUCGAAAAAUAGCGGUUUUCCGUGACUUUCUUGCAGAACUGGUCUAGCCACACAAGUUUUUCAUAUCCCAUAUAUUCAGGUUCAGCUUCUAAAAUGAGCUGUAGGUAGUUGAAUUUAGGUAUGACGAAAUGAAUUUUUCAGCACUGUCACUGGGUGUUAAAUUUCUAAUGUUAUGCCUGGUUUAGACUGUUCAAUUGAAACGAGCAUGUGAGUUAACUUCUUAAACAUGUUCAAUCCAAUGGAAUGACGUGUUUAGACUGUGUAAAUAACUUGGGAGUUCACUUGCGUGCUCUUGAAUGCAUCUCAAUUGAAGCAAGUGUUUACAUUGUUCAACUCGUGCGGAGCGUAAGCAAACUGAAUUGAAUUCAUCUCACUGACAGAUGACUUGAAUUCAGCUCACAUCGCGGGUUUAGACGGGGCAAGUGAGACGAUUUCGUUUGACUUAAGUUCAACAUGUUCAACUUUCGUUCACGCCAAGUGAGUUGCUCAUGUGAGAUGAAUGGUAGUGUUUACACGUUCAAUUCGCAUUCAAUUGGGCAUUUUCCAUUGACUUGAAUCAAGUCUUCCAUUGACUUGAAUCAAGUCACUUGCACUGUCUAAACCAGGCAUUAGACGGGGCAAGUGAGACGACUUCGUUUGACUUGAAUGAAAAAGUUCAACAUGUUCAACUUUCGUUCAAGUCAAGUGAGUUGCUCAUGUGAGAUGAAUGGUGGUGUUUACAUGUUCAAUUCGCAUUCAAUUGGGCAUUUUCCAUUGACUUGAAUCAAGUCACUUGCACUGUCUAAACCAGGCAUUGUUCAGUCUGUGCGGCCUCUAGCCGAAGACGGUGUAAAUGUAUUGCUGACUGCACCCCAAAUUGGAUUGACGAAAUAGUAUGUACACACCUUCAUGUGAUUGCAGAGCGCAGGACCACGUCGGACCUAAAGACACUACAGUACGGGCCCGAUUUUGUCAGCCCCAUUUUUCGACGAACCUUUUGCUCCCAUUAUCUAACGGUCAAACUUAACCAAUUCAUUAAAGAUCAUCAUCAAACUACACUGCUAAAAGGCAGAACAUAGAGGGAUAAAAAGUGUGAAUAUAUGUUUAGAUUUUUUCGUAUGCUGUUGGAAGGAGUUAAUUGCGAAACUAAUGCACCAAAAGGCGACGAGAUCACCCGUAGGGGUAGGCGGGACAAUAUGGACACCCGGGGCAAAAUGGCCACCUUCAAUAUUUUUAAAUAUGCGAACUUUUUUGAACUUUUAAUGAAUGGAGAAUAUAGUCCAUUUGUCUAAAACGUAGUUUCAGGAAAGCAACAUUCCAAAUUAAAAUUAUACUUGAUUUUACACGAAAAAGUUGCGUCCUCCGUUUUUUGUGCAUGGAAAUUAUAAUUUUCACACCAUCUAAAAUAAGAUUUAGUGAUUGCACCAUUAAUUGCAGGUCGAUUAAAACCUGAUAUUUCUAGAACACAUGCAAGUAGUUUUGCUGUAUCUACAUGCUUAACAUGUUUAUAUUUUCUUCUUUAUUAUAUCAAAAAUCAAGUUUGGAAAUAUCUUCUGCUGCCGGGGCAAAAUGGACACUCACCUUUUUGAAAGAAGCGGCAAGGGAAAAAUAUAACCUAAAUCACAAACCAACCAAAUUUUUCGAUUUCAGUAUAUUUUUGGUUAAAUGUUCACUAUAGUAGACAUAGGGUGAAACAAAUUGAUCAAAAAACGACAGCAGUGGAAAAUAGCUGUUCUAGGCACAGCUGUACUGCCGUGAAUCGCAUACCAGUCCCAUUUGCAUAGGAAAUCCAGCAAAGAUGGGACUGAUAUGCGAUUCACGGCAGUGUACAUGCCGACAAAAACGAAGUUUUAUCCAAAACAGCCUGAAUUUAAAUUAACUGAACAAAUAUGAACUACUUCGGCGUAUUGUUUAUCCAUAAUAGUUGUUUUGUAAUGAAAUGACUUUAUAGGUGUAAAUAAUGUACGAAAAUCGUAAUAGUCUCAUGGUGUCCAUUCUGCCCCGUAUGCUUGAAGACGGUCAUGAAAAACUAACAUUUUUCAUAACAUUUUUUGAAGUGGAUAAAUCAUUUUUCUUCGUGAGCAUUCUUAUGCAAUAGAUGCUAAAUAGACUUUAAAAGGAUACAUGUAUCAAAAAACUAAAUUUUUUUGACAUCUUGCCAGGUAAAGUUGGCAAAAACCUUAGGGUGUCCAUAUUGCCCCGCCUACCCCUAUUGAUGAUGAUAUUGCCGAACUGAAACAACAAAUAUGUAACUGCAAUACAACAGGCUCUUGCAAAUUCCGCCGUUGUUUUCUCUCGCGCUGAACCGAACAUGAAUGCGUCCUCGUCGAUCAAUUCGUUGAUCGUAAAUCACGCAAUUGCCGAAUCGUCACCCCAGAAACCGUCAGAAAACCAUUCCCCAGAAAACCAAUCCCCAGAAUUCCAUUCCCCAGAAUGUACCAUUCCCCAGAAAACCAUUUCCCAGAAACCCAUUCCCCAGAAUGUACCAUUUCCCAGAAAUCCAUUCCCCAGAAUGUACCAUUCCCCAGAAUUCCAUUCCCCAGAAUGUACCUACCAUUCCCCAGAAAAAAAUAAAACUAUUGCUUUAAUUCUGAAUGGUUUAUAUUAAUAGCUAAAAAUCAAAUAUUUAUUCGUAAAAAAUCACCGGAAGAAACAUCCUGCCAAAAAUUCUUAUUUGACAAGAAAGACUUCGGAAAUAAGCAUGAUUUGCUUUUACAAUUUAGGCUAUUGGUAUAAUUAUUGGCAUCGCAACUGCCCUGGCCAAGUUCGCAGGGGUUGACGGUAUUAAAGUGAAGGAGUUUCAUUUUGAUUAUUGUAAUGUAGUGUUCUUUAGUGAAACAUAUCACCUUUUUAACACUUUAAUGCGCCUCCAACGGUUCAUCACGAACCGGCUGCUGCAGAUGGAGUAUGGCUGAUCAUAUGCAUCAGACAUGCUCGAUAAACACGGAGGAACCGCCAGGGCUCAGUAGAGUCUAUUCCCAAGCAAUAGUUCCAAGUCGGUUGGAUUUGAGAAGGUUUUGAUGAUCGUUACAAAUCCUAAUAAAAGUAUUAUAGGAUUUGUGAAGGGUUUUGGAACCUUUAACAGCCAGCUGACUUCAAAAUGUUGUUUGGGCUCUAUUUUCCACGUUUCUCGGUUGAUUUUGAUUAGUAAUUUAUUAAUGUCAUAGUCGCUUUUUCGAUUUUUUACCAUGUUAGUUGGACAUAUUUUCUUUAAAUAAUGCAAUUAAAAUCAACCGACGAAUUAUUAGUGGGAAGGAGAUUUGCAGCACUUAAUUGUGCUGAUAGAUUCGAAGCUAACGUGCGAACACUUAAACGCAUUGUUGACGUCAAUGCGUUUGACGUGACAUUUUGGACAAAAACUGACUACUUUUUAUUAACUGAACAACGUUACUUUUGUAUGACUAGGUUGACAUUUCUAGGCCACGCAUGAGAAAAUGACAUGGUUUAUCGAGGUAGGACCGAUAGGACAGAACGAAUUUGAAUAUUUUUCAUAGUAUUUGUAGGGGGAUGAAUACAUAAUAGUUGACAAGCAAUUUUUGUUUUAUUACAAAUUGUAAUUUACAAUCAACUGACCAACUUGGCGUAUUUUUGUUUAUCUCUUAGAUGGUGUUAUGACACCAACAGAAAAAUAUCAGGAGUUCAGUUACAUGUUUCUGUGGGUUUUUCACCGAUGACAAUUUAAGGACACAAGAGAUGAACACAGAGAAGUAGAAAUAAAGAAAACAAUUGACACAGAAUCGACUCUAUUUUAACAUACGUGUUCGACUGAUUCGAUGAAUCUAUCUAGAAGGAUCUAGAAGACAAUUAACGCUAAGAUUGGAAAAAAGCUUGUAGUUGGGACUAGACUAAAAUAGUGGCCGAUAGGAAACAAUGCGCUAGACAGCAUUAUUAUUCAUUUUUUAAUAUUUACCCGUAGGCUUUUCGCCGGUUGACAGUACAGUAUUUAGCUGUGUACGAAGAUACGGAUUAGUUGGUGUACAGAUGACAAGGUUCUCACGGGAAGUGCUUCAAGCGAGGCUUACAUAACAACUGACAAUAAAGAAACCUAUUUUCCUUGACUUUCUACGCAAUCAACAUCCGACCGAACACACGUGUUUUCGUUAAUCUUCUAGGCAUUAUUAAGACAUGACGUAUGUGCAUGACGAAACAACUAGCAGGACACAGUUCCAGACGUCUCUUUUUAAUGACGACAUUCAGCAUAUUUCCAAUAAAACUACACUUCAAUAAAGUAAAGACUAAAGCUGCUAUGAUAGAACAGAUCAGAAUGACUUAAUUGACUUAUUGACUACAUAUUGGAGAUCUACUUCGAAUAACUGACAAAUUGACAAGAACCUAACUAAAUGCAUGGACCAUACUGCAAAAAAAAAACAAUUGACAAAAAGAAAAAAAAAGGGGGAAACUUUUAUUAAUAGUAGUUUAUGCAACAAGGUGCAGAAUGACGAUUUUUACAGCACGAGUCGUACAUUUAUCCAACGAGGCUUGCCGAGUUGGAUAAUUACGACGAGUGCUGGAAAAAUCGAGUUCUGCACCGAGUUGUGUACAACGUUUUUUGCAAUUUCAUAAAUUACCCUUGAGGAUAGUUUUCAACAAAACUUUUUCAUCAAGCAGCUGCACACUGAUGUUCAUAGCCAAUGUUUAAGAAAAUCUGAUCAUAAUAGAUUAUACUGUGCAGUUGUCACAAUUUUUCAUAACUGCGUCCAGAAAGCAUCAAGAAGUUGACCAAAACUGAAAACAGUGCUGUAAUGGUUCAUUACGCAACGCAAAUCAGUGCUGUAAUGAAUCAUUACAGCACUGUUAAUUAGGUUUGGGAAAGUAGGCCUUUUCCUGUCAGAUUUGCGUGAGGUAAAACAGCCUAUUACGAUGAGAAAUUGCAAAAAACUAUUUUUGUUCAACGCAGGCCAAAACAGUGUCGACUUGGGCCACGAUAUGCCUACGUACUUCUGUGUGUUGAAACAAAAAUAGAGGCUCAUAGAAGCAAACGUAGGGAAAGGGUGCGGUGUUAGAACAUAAGCACAGUGUGCUACCGCCGUAAUCACUAAAAAAAAAAAAAAAAAAAAAAAAAAAAUUAUUGGCAUCGCAACUGCUUACUUUUUCAACAUACAUUUUUCCUUCUUUUCUGCAUAGGCUGUUCUUUCGAAUUGUACUUUUCAGUAAAUUAUCGGCAUCAAAACUUUUUACAUUUUCUACGUAGUUUUUUCCUUCUUUUCUGCAUAGGCUAUUCUUUCAAGUUACACUAUUCAGGUCAUUAUCGGCACCACAAGCACAGGUGUUUAGAAAUUUAGAAAAAAUAUGAAAUAAAUAUAACAGCAAUUUUAACACCGGUGGAGGCUCUAAUGCCCAUAAUUUCCCGAAAAGUGCAAUUCGAAAGAACAGCCUAUGCAAAAAAGAAGGGAGAAUCAAUGUUAAAAAAGUAAGCAGUUGCAAUGCCGAUAAUUUCUUGAAAAGUGCAACUGGAAAGAACAGCCUAUGCAAAAGAAGGGAAAAUUUUUGAUAAACAUAUAAGCAGUUGUAAUGCCAACAAUUCUUAUAACGACUCAAACAUUGUUUUUAACGAAGAAGGAAACGUAACACUCUGAUAAUUUCCAUCGUACAUCGAUUUAAAGGUUUAUUUGAAAAUUUGAGAGUUGACCAACUGCCAAUUCGCGGCGCUCGCAUAGUUUUUGUUUGAGUUUGACGUUUGCUCACUACUGCCACCUAGUUGAUGAUUGGCCAAAUUCAGUCCUUUUAGAAUUAAGCGAACCUAUUUCCGAGACUAAAAUUUAAAUCGAAAAAUGUUCGAAGUAUUACGUCUGUUUGUCUGUGGUGACAUUGUUUUCCUUGCGGCAUUCAAAAACCCAACACUGUUCCUUUUUUUAAACAAGCUUUUUUUUAGAAUUUAGGCAAUUGGUACAAUUAUUGGAAUUAUAACUGCUUUCAUUUUCAACAUAGACUUUUCCUUCUUUGCUGCAUAGGCUGUUCUUUCGAAUUGCACUUUUCAGAAAAUUAUCGGCAUCACAACUGCUUACUUUUUCAACAUAGAUUUUCCCUUCUUUUCUACAUAGGCUGUUCUUUCAAGUUACAAUGUUUAGGCUAGUUACAAUCGGCACCACAAGCACAGGUGUUUAGAAAUUUGAAAAAAAAUUAAUAAUAAAUAUAACAGCAAUUUAACACCGGUGGUUGUAAUAAUGCCCAUAAUUUCCUGAAAAGUGCAAUUCGAAAGAACAGCCUAUGUAGAAAAGAAGGGAGAAUAUAUGUUGAAAAUGUAAGCAGUUUUAAUUUAAAUUUUUUUACUAAUUGCCUUAAUUUUAAGAAGAAUAUUGUUUAAAAAGAAGGAACAUUGUUGGGUUUUUGAAUGCCAAAAGGAAAACAAUGAUACUUUUUCCCUUCUGUUGGCAUUCAAACUGCUUAUAUGUUCACUUUUUCUAUUCCAUUCCAUAGUAUUGGAAUAAUGAUGAAAGCCCUUCUCAUACCGCAUGAAUGAAGAGCCUUUGAAGCGAAUAAUUAGGAACAGCCAUUGGGAUGGAUCCCUCCAACCGUUUGCAAAGAAAAACGUGGUCAGUUGAGUCUUAAGUAUCUUGUACACUGAACAACAUCAGAAGAAUAUGCGUUUUCUCUGUAAAUUUUGCACAUCACUUUUAAAACGUUAUUCAUCGUAAAACAAGUGCUGCACAAUUUUCACAAA